This 472-nucleotide ribosomal RNA is filed under the name uncultured bacterium. RNAcentral describes it as "bacterial SSU rRNA". It matches the Rfam family "Bacterial small subunit ribosomal RNA", at positions 355 to 825 of the family's 1533-position model. The record is from RNAcentral.
UGGGGAAUAUUGGACAAUGGGGGCAACCCUGAUCCAGCAAUGCCGCGUGAGUGAAGAAGGCCUUCGGGUUGUAAAGCUCUUUCGGCGGGGACGAAACGGUCCGUGACAACACCACGGACUAAUGACAGUACUCGCAGAAGAAGCACCGGCUAACUACGUGCCAGCAGCCGCGGUAAUACGUAGGGUGCAGGCGUUAAUCGGAAUUACUGGGCGUAAAGCGUGCGCAGGCGGCUCCUUAAGUCAGAUGUGAAAUCCCCGGGCUUAACCUGGGAACUGCGUUUGAAACUGAGGGGCUAGAGUGUGGAAGAGGGGGGUGGAAUUCCAGGUGUAGCAGUGAAAUGCGUAGAGAUCUGGAGGAACACCGAUGGCGAAGGCAGCCCCCUGGGCUAACACUGACGCUCAUGCACGAAAGCGUGGGGAGCAAACAGGAUUAGAUACCCAGGUAGUCCCUGAGCGGGCUGGCAAGGCGCAU